UUGGUGGCGACCGGCGCACGGGUGAGUAACGCGUAUGCAACCUACUUAUCAGAGGGGAAUAACCCGGCGAAAGUCGGACUAAUACCGCAUAAAACAGGGACACCGCAUGGUGAUAUUUGUUAAAGAACUUCGCUGAUAGAUGGGCAUGCGUUCCAUUAGGUAGUUGGUGAGGUAACGGCUCACCAAGCCGACGAUGGAUAGGGGAACUGAGAGGUUGGUCCCCCACACUGGUACUGAGACACGGACCAGACUCCUACGGGAGGCAGCAGUGAGGAAUAUUGGUCAAUGGGCGAGAGCCUGAACCAGCCAAGUCGCGUGAAGGAAGAAGGAUCUAUGGUUCGUAAACUUCUUUUGCAGGGGAAUAAAGUGCAGGACGUGUCCUGUUUUGUAUGUACCCUGAGAAUAAGGAUCGGCUAACUUUGUGCCAACAGCCGCGGUAAUACGGAGGAUCCGAGUGUUAUCCGCAUUUAUUGGGUUUAAAG
RNAcentral lists this ribosomal RNA (482 nucleotides) under uncultured Porphyromonadaceae bacterium. RNAcentral's name for it is "bacterial SSU rRNA". It matches the Rfam family "Bacterial small subunit ribosomal RNA", at positions 85 to 565 of the family's 1533-position model. Lineage: Bacteria; Pseudomonadati; Bacteroidota; Bacteroidia; Bacteroidales; Porphyromonadaceae. The record is from RNAcentral.